AAGUGCUGCUAAAGAAGCAGGAACGCUGGCCAGCAAUUAAUCCCUACAAGUUGUAGGUGAGCCAUGAGGGACAUAGGGGAUGGAGUAUCCCAGGAACAGAACGUCCCAGAGAUGUUAAAACAGAUUUUAAAGAAACAUGGCAGGAAAGUUGAGUCUACAGAUUUGAACAGAGUCUUGUUCUGGGCAAAAGACUGUAAUUCAACUUUAGAGAGAACCAAUAUUUUUAAUCCUUGGACAUGGGACACUUCAGAUGCAUUGUGGAACCGAGUUACAUGUGGCGACGCAGAGCUGACAGAGCUUUUGUGUCAGUGGAAGACAGUGUGUAAGCCGCUCACAGCACAUGUGGCACCUGGAGACUGGACAAAGAAAGCCGCUUGUGCCACCGCAGCAGCCAUGCCGAGCCCUUCUGCACUGCCAAUGAGUGACCGUAAGUCUCUCAGGGCUGUGGGAGGAGAACCAGAAGAUGGCCCCUCGUCCCUUGACCCGUUUGACCCUGGAGGGAAGCCGGAUGGUCCCGUAGAAAAGCUUGCGCCGCCCUCUGCCAUGCGGCAUCAGCUGGAGCUGGGUCACAGUGAGUGGCUGGAGCUGGGGCGUCCCAUCCUGGUAGCGUGUUCCCUCUCUGUUUGCUCUCUGCGAAACUGCAGCAGCAGCAGCAGCGGCAGAUGCGGCAGGGGGGACAGGGAUCGCGCGACACCAGGGAGCACACGCUGGCAAGCACAUGGUGGUGUGGCACCAGCGAGCACAUGGCAGAGCUGCGCCGUGUCGGCAAGCGCAUGGCGGCGAGCCAUAGUGGCGAGCACAUGGCAAAGCUGUGCCACGGCCGCACCCAGCAGCCGCCCCCACGCCGCGGAUGGGCAAGAUUGGCAGUGCUGGAGGCUGGCGGGGCUGCGGCUCCGCUCAACGCAUGGCGGGGUCCAUGAGCGGCUCUCUGCAUGUGGGAGGUGAGGAGAUGGGCCAGCGGACCUCUGCUGGCCGCCCGACCUGCGCAGCCAGCGGGGCUGGCGCAG
Molecule: long non-coding RNA, 1007 nt
Filed under: Corvus moneduloides (New Caledonian crow)
Lineage: Eukaryota; Metazoa; Chordata; Aves; Passeriformes; Corvidae
Description: lncRNA (ENSCMUG00000018355.1)
Source: RNAcentral